AUUGAACGCUGGCGGCAUGCCUUACACAUGCAAGUCGAACGGCAGCACGGGAGCAAUCCUGGUGGCGAGUGGUGAACGGGUGAGUAAUAUAUCGGAACGUGCCCAGUCGUGGGGGAUAACGCAGCGAAAGCUGUGCUAAUACCGCAUACGAUCUAUGGAUGAAAGCGGGGGAUCGCAAGAUCUUGCGCGAUUGGAGCGGCAGAUAUCAGAGUAGCUAGUUGGUGAGGUAAAGGCUCACCAAGGCGACGAUCUGUAGCUGGUCUGAGAGGACGACCAGCCACACUGGAACUGAGACACGGUCCAGACUCCUACGGGAGGCAGCAGUGGGGAAUUUUGGACAAUGGGCGAAAGCCUGAUCCAGCAAUGCCGCGUGCAGGAUGAAGGCCUUCGGGUUGUAAACUGCUUUUGUACGGAACGAAACGGUGAGCUCUAAUACAGUUUGCUAAUGACUGUACCGUAAGAAUAAGCACCGGCUAACUACGUGCCAGCCGCCGCAGUAA
RNAcentral lists this ribosomal RNA (500 nucleotides) under uncultured bacterium. Its description in RNAcentral is "partial 16S ribosomal RNA". It matches the Rfam family "Bacterial small subunit ribosomal RNA", at positions 30 to 523 of the family's 1533-position model. The record is from RNAcentral.